UACGGAGGAUCCAAGCGUUAUCCGGAUUUAUUGGGUUUAAAGGGUGCGUAGGCGGCCUGUUAAGUCAGAGGUGAAAACUUGCAGCUCAACUGUAAGCUUGCCUUUGAUACCGAUGGGCUUGAAUAAACUAGAGGUAGGCGGAAUGUGACAAGUAGCGGUGAAAUGCAUAGAUAUGUCACAGAACACCAAUUGCGAAGGCAGCUUACUAUGGUUUAAUUGACGCUGAGGCACGAAAGCGUGGGGAUCAAACAGG
RNAcentral lists this ribosomal RNA (253 nucleotides) under uncultured bacterium. RNAcentral's name for it is "partial 16S ribosomal RNA". It matches the Rfam family "Bacterial small subunit ribosomal RNA", at positions 524 to 776 of the family's 1533-position model. The record is from RNAcentral.